UCCCUGGUAGCUCAGCUGGUUAAGCAUCUGCCUGCAAUGCAGGAGACCCCGGUUCAAUUCCUGGCUCAGGAA
This 72-nucleotide transfer RNA is filed under the name Ovis aries (sheep). It matches the Rfam family "tRNA". Rfam says of the family: Transfer RNA (tRNA) molecules are approximately 80 nucleotides in length. The record is from Rfam by way of RNAcentral. Lineage: Eukaryota; Metazoa; Chordata; Mammalia; Artiodactyla; Bovidae.